CACGUAGGGGGCGAGCGUUGUCCGGAUUCAUUGGGCGUAAAGAGCUCGUAGGCGGCUCAGUAAGUCGGGUGUGAAACCCUCAGGCUCAACCUGGGGACGCCACUCGAUACUGCUGUGGCUAGAGUCCAGUAGAGGAGUGUGGAAUUCCCGGUGUAGCGGUGAAAUGCGCAGAUAUCGGGAGGAACACCAACGGCGAAGGCAGCACUCUGGGCUGGUACUGACACUGAGGAGCGAAAGCGUGGGUAGCAAACAGG
This 254-nucleotide ribosomal RNA is filed under the name uncultured bacterium. RNAcentral describes it as "partial 16S ribosomal RNA". It matches the Rfam family "Bacterial small subunit ribosomal RNA", at positions 524 to 776 of the family's 1533-position model. The record is from RNAcentral.